Molecule: transfer-messenger RNA, 369 nt
Filed under: Nocardioides sp.
Lineage: Bacteria; Bacillati; Actinomycetota; Actinomycetes; Propionibacteriales; Nocardioidaceae
Also listed under: 1 other name
Rfam family: transfer-messenger RNA
About the family: Bacterial tmRNA, also known as 10Sa RNA or SsrA, is named for its dual tRNA and mRNA-like properties. Its role is to liberate the mRNA from a stalled ribosome. To accomplish this part of the tmRNA is used as a reading frame that ends in a translation stop signal.
Source: RNAcentral
GGGGCUGAUCGGUUUCGACUUGGGACGUUAGUUCCAGGGGAAGCGGGUCGAGGAGCCAGCGACAUCUCGUAAACGACCGCUGGAAACCACAACUGCCAACGCUAAGCGCAGUUCCUUCGCUCUCGCCGCCUGAGCGGUGAUCGAAGCGUCAGACCGGGCAUCCGUCUCCGUCCCGGACCCUGGCGUCAUCUAGGAGACUUGCUGGUCACCUCCAGUCAGGAGGGGUGACCGGGACUCAAACCUGACUGAGUCUGUCGGCGACGUGUCUGCGCGAGCGCCGGGGCUGAGAACACGACAUCGCAGACUGCACCCGGAGAAGACCUGGUUCGACGCUCGAGGACGCGGGUUCGAUUCCCGCCAGCUCCACAC